Molecule: ribosomal RNA, 253 nt
Filed under: uncultured bacterium
Lineage: Bacteria
Description: partial 16S ribosomal RNA
Rfam family: Bacterial small subunit ribosomal RNA
Source: RNAcentral
UACGAAGGGGGCUAGCGUUGCUCGGAAUUACUGGGCGUAAAGCGCACGUAGGCGGUCUUUUAAGUCGGGGGUGAAAUCCUGGAGCUCAACUCCAGAACUGCCUUCGAUACUGGAAGACUCGAGUCCGGGAGAGGUGAGUGGAACUGCGAGUGUAGAGGUGAAAUUCGUAGAUAUUCGGAGGAACACCAGUGGCGAAGGCGGCUCACUGGACCAUUACUGACGCUGAGGUGCGAAAGCGUGGGGAGCGAACAGG